Molecule: ribosomal RNA, 500 nt
Filed under: uncultured cyanobacterium
Lineage: Bacteria; Bacillati; Cyanobacteriota
Description: bacterial SSU rRNA
Rfam family: Bacterial small subunit ribosomal RNA
Source: RNAcentral
GGGGAAUUUUCCGCAAUGGGCGAAAGCCUGACGGAGCAAUACCGCGUGCGGGACGAAGGCUUUUGGGUCGUAAACCGCUUUUGUUAGGGAAGAAGAACUAACGGUACCUAACGAAUCAGCAUCGGCUAACUCCGUGCCAGCAGCCGCGGUAAUACGGGGGAUGCAAGCGUUAUCCGGAAUUAUUGGGCGUAAAGCGUCCGCAGGUGGUUUAUCAAGUCUGCUGUCAAAGCGUGGGGCUUAACCCCAUAAAGGCAGUGGAAACUGAGAGACUAGAGUACGGUAGGGGUAGCGGGAAUUCCCAGUGUAGCGGUGAAAUGCGUAGAUAUUGGGAAGAACACCAGCGGCGAAGGCGCGCUACUGGGCCGAAACUGACACUCAUGGACGAAAGCUAGGGGAGCGAAAGGGAUUAGAUACCCCUGUAGUCCUAGCUGUAAACGAUGACAACUAGGUGUUGCGCGUAUCGACCCGUGCAGUGCCGUAGCUAACGCGUUAAGUUGUCC